Molecule: ribosomal RNA, 436 nt
Filed under: uncultured bacterium
Lineage: Bacteria
Description: bacterial SSU rRNA
Rfam family: Bacterial small subunit ribosomal RNA
Source: RNAcentral
AACGCGAAGAACCUUACCUGGGCUCGAAAUGCUAUGGACCGGGGUAGAAAUAUCCCCUCCCCGCAAGGGGCCGUAGUAUAGGUGCUGCAUGGCUGUCGUCAGCUCGUGUCGUGAGAUGUUGGGUUAAGUCCCGCAACGAGCGCAACCCUUGCCGUGUGUUGGUCGAAAGAUCUCUCACGCGGGACCGCCGGUGACAAGCCGGAGGAAGGUGGGGAUGACGUCAAGUCAGCAUGGCCCUUACGUCCCGGGCUACACACGUGCUACAAUGGAAGGGACAACGAGUCGCGAACCCGCGAGGGCAAGCUAAGUCUCACAAACCCUUUCUCAGUUCGGAUUGAAGGCUGCAACUCGCCUUCAUGAAGUCGGAAUCGCUAGUAACCGUAGAUCAGCUACGCUGCGGUGAAUACGUUCCCGGGCCUUGUACACACCCGAUAGC